This 274-nucleotide ribosomal RNA is filed under the name uncultured bacterium. RNAcentral describes it as "partial 16S ribosomal RNA". It matches the Rfam family "Archaeal small subunit ribosomal RNA", at positions 473 to 747 of the family's 1478-position model. The record is from RNAcentral.
AAACCAGCACCUCAAGUGGUCAGGAGGGUUAUUGGGCCUAAAGCAUCCGUAGCCGGCUAUGUUAGUUUUCGGUUAAAUCCAUGUGCUCAACACAUGGGCUGUCGAGAAUACUACAUAGCUAGGGAGUGGGAGAGGUAGACGGUACUCGGUAGGAAGGGGUAAAAUCCUUUGAUCUAUUGAUGACCACCAGUGGCGAAGGCGGUCUACCAGAACACGUCCGACGGUGAGGGAUGAAAGCUGGGGGAGCAAACCGGAUUAGAAACCCUGGUAGUCC